RNAcentral lists this ribosomal RNA (305 nucleotides) under uncultured Thermus sp. RNAcentral describes it as "bacterial SSU rRNA". It matches the Rfam family "Bacterial small subunit ribosomal RNA", at positions 1077 to 1382 of the family's 1533-position model. The record is from RNAcentral. Lineage: Bacteria; Thermotogati; Deinococcota; Deinococci; Thermales; Thermaceae.
GGGUUAAGUCCCGCAACGAGCGCAACCCCGCCGUUAGUUGCCAGCGGUUCGGCCGGGCACUCUAACGGGACUGCCCGCGAAAAGCGGGAGGAAGGAGGGGACGACGUCUGGUCAGCAUGGCCCUUACGGCCUGGGCGACACACGUGCUACAAUGCCCACUACAAAGCGAUGCCACCCGGCAACGGGGAGCUAAUCGCAAAAAGGUGGGCCCAGUUCGGAUUGGGGUCUGCAACCCGACCCCAUGAAGCCGGAAUCGCUAGUAAUCGCGGAUCAGCCAUGCCGCGGUGAAUACGUUCCCGGGCCUU